Molecule: small nuclear RNA, 20 nt
Filed under: Arabidopsis thaliana (thale cress)
Lineage: Eukaryota; Viridiplantae; Streptophyta; Magnoliopsida; Brassicales; Brassicaceae
Description: snRNA_12793
Source: RNAcentral
UUCCAAAACAAAACAAAAAA